RNAcentral lists this small RNA (1181 nucleotides) under Pongo abelii (Sumatran orangutan). RNAcentral's name for it is "processed transcript". The record is from RNAcentral. Lineage: Eukaryota; Metazoa; Chordata; Mammalia; Primates; Hominidae.
CCACCGUGCUCGGCCUGUGUUUUUAUUUUUAAACCUUAGUAUUUCUGAAUAACAAUGGGUAGAGAAACACCCACAGUAGCUGUCUACAAUAGAGUGAAAUAAAAAGCCUGAGGAACUGUCAACAGAAAAAUGGGUGGCCGUGGGGAGCACCGGGGCCUGCACUUGCACAUAAUCUAGGGCAGCUUCUAAUGAGUCUAUGAGUUAUUCAGGAAUCUCAUUAAAAUGAGAUCAGCCUUGGGUGGGAUUUUCUUCUUUAUAGACUUCUGUCACCAUAUUUUGAAGAGCAAGGGUUUAGUUGAUUUUAAGCAGGUGUGUACCCACCUGGACAGUGCUUGUAGAAAAACAGAACUAUACCCAUGGAUUUCAUGAUUAUACUACUAGCUUCUUGGUUAAGGGGCUGAGUUAGGCAUUCAUUGCAGAUAGAAACAAGGUAGAUGCAUGCGUAUCAGUGAGUACUGAGAUAUUUAGCAUGGUUACCUAUGAAUUGGAGUUUGGUCUCUUCUUAGCCAUUAAUUGAUUAUCUUUCAUUCUAAGCAAGUAUUUCAUACCCUGCAUGUCAGUAUAUCCCUGGAUUUCGUCCCUCCACAUGGUUUGACACUUUUGAACAUCAGAUUACCUAAGAGUGAGACUUAACCCACUUUUAAAUUGUUCUUAAAAUCAGGGAAAUAAAAGAGAAUGAAAUUGUGGCAACUUUUUUCCCUCCUAGUUACCAGAUGUAUGCUAUUCAUGGUGGGUCCUGGCUUCCCUAAAGAUAAUUGGAAGACUUCAUUGGAUUGAUAGAGAGAAACUGCGUAAUUUCAUCUUAGCAUGUCAAGAUGAAGAAACGGGGGGAUUUGCAGACAGGCCAGGAGAUAUGGUGGAUCCUUUUCAUACCUUAUUUGGAAUUGCUGGAUUGUCACUUUUGGGAGAAGAACAGAUUAAACCUGUUAAUCCCGUCUUUUGCAUGCCUGAAGAAGUGCUUCAGAGAGUGAAUGUUCAGCCUGAGCUAGUGAGCUAGAUUCAUUGAAGUGAAAGUUGCAUAGUAUAGUUUUGCCAUUUUAACAUUUCUGUAUUUGAAGUGCUUAUUGAAUCUAAAAAUGACUACUGUUAAUAUUUUGUAUAUUGUGUUAAAUUAAUUUUAAUAAAUUAUAUAAUUAUACAUAUUGUAAAAUAAAGACCGGUAUUUUAUUUUCUGCUUUUUA